Camelina sativa (false flax) is the source of this 699-nucleotide non-coding RNA. The record is from RefSeq and is a predicted model, not a curated record. Lineage: Eukaryota; Viridiplantae; Streptophyta; Magnoliopsida; Brassicales; Brassicaceae.
UCAUUAAGGAGCGAGAGGAGGCUAAGGCUAGGAAGAAGGCGUGGGUUGAGAAAUUAUUUGAGAGAGAGAGGGUCCAGAGGGAGAAGGAACUUGACACCAUUAAAGACCUGUAUCUCGGAGGUAAACGUUCAGAAUUGGUCCUUGUUGCAACUUAUCGAUCUGACUUUAACGAGAAGGAGGUACACAGUUCAUAAUUGGUCCUUGUUUAAGUUUUCUUAAAUUGGUGAGUGAGAAAUAAAAUUCAGAUCUGCUAAAGGAGUUAAACAUCAGUUUCGUUGUAGUUUAGUUGUGGUUUGUUUGUCUUUAAUUGCUAAAGUCGAAGAGAUCCUUUUAAUUUCUCCUAGUAGGGUUACAUGUGUAGGAGCAGCAAUCCUUGAACAUCUCAUGAAACUUGAGGAGUUGAAGUGAAGCCAAGAAAAUUGUUCACUCUUAAGGCUAUUGAAGCAACAUGAAUCAGAAGACUUCACCAUUCCCAGAUAAGCUUAAGUGUUUGGGAACAAAGAGCUUUGCAGAUUAUUAGACAUACCACAACCUUGUAUCUACGGAAAAGCCAGUCAUGAGGGUCUGACUUUGUUAUGAGUUAAUUUUUUUGAGCUUUGUUUUGUUUAAGCUCUGUUGGAUUGGUGUUGCUUCUCUGGACAAUUGAGGGGUUAAUUUUUUUCGCUUAGAGUUUUGAUUGACAUUAGAUUUUUUCUCUUU